Non-coding RNA from Xyrichtys novacula (pearly razorfish), 984 nucleotides. NCBI's taxonomy places the organism in Eukaryota, Metazoa, Chordata, Actinopteri, Labriformes, Labridae. The record is from the annotation of a GenBank genome assembly.
CUGCUGUCUGAGUUCAGAGCGAGUUUAUCCUGGAGAGUUCAGCACAACGACCUCGGUUUAUCACUUUAAUUACUCACGUAAGUGUCUCAUUAUCUUAGGUUGUUAAUCUCAGACUGUUCUCAUUACCAAAAGUGACUUAAUCUGUUCAUUAAUCUGCUAGUUGACACUCUGAAUUAGCCUCACAGUUACUCAGCAGCUCAGCUCAAGUGUUAUCUAAGGGUCAGAGAAACGAAAUGAAGUAUGAGUUUUACUCUCAUUUUAGACUUGACAUAUUUAAUUUGUUUAAAAGAUGAUUUUUCUAGGAUGUUUCUGGUCUUAUUUCAAACUCACAUUUCCUCACAGAUGGUCACUGAAACUUGGAAAAUAUCUGAAUCACAGGGUGGAGCAGCUGUUUUAAAAGUGUGGGUGUUUAAGGGAAGGACAUGAGUAACACAACUCCUACACAUCAGAUUACAGUAUACAGUAAUAUUCACAUUAUCUUAUUGUUACUGCUUCACAAGUUUGUAUUCAGAGUCAGUGAAGUGUUGUUAUUCAGAUAGGAGGAUGGGGAAAGCAUCACUGAGAUUGUAAAUCAAUCAAAGGUUGACUUUUGAGUAUGGACAUCCUUAUAUCUAAGCAGGGGUUAACUUAAGUUCUUCUCUUUAGAAAUCUUUCCAUAUUUUAAAUUUCCAUCUCCUCCAGCAUGAAGCUGCGAGUUCGUCUCCGGCGUCGGACCAGAAGGGUGGAGUUACCAGGACAAGAACCCAGUUUGACUGAACUCAGAAACCUCAUCAAGGAGACACUUCUGUCCGCUCACGGACUCAGGUCAGACUCAACCACAGACCAGGACAAUGGUUAACUUUUGAGCAGUCUUAAAAGGGUUCACCUGAGCUUUAAGAAGAGUUUCACAUUUGUAUUUGGGACCAUUAAAGGGAUAUUCUGGCGUAAAGUUAAUUUAGGGUCAAACACACCGUAACACAGACUAAGACACCUCCUCGAGAGAUG